RNAcentral lists this small RNA (408 nucleotides) under Pongo abelii (Sumatran orangutan). RNAcentral describes it as "retained intron". The record is from RNAcentral. Lineage: Eukaryota; Metazoa; Chordata; Mammalia; Primates; Hominidae.
CAAUCUGGCCAGGCUCAUUCAGAGGUGGAAUCGCUUCAUUCUCACUCAACUGCAUCAAGAUAUGCAGGAGCUGGAAGUACCACAGGCUUAUCGAGGUGCUGGAGGCAGCUUUUGCUCAUCGGGGGACUCUGUUAUUGGGCAGCUCUUCAGCUGUGAGAUGGAGAACUGCAGCCUCUGCCGCUGUGGCAGUGAGACCGUGCGCGCCUCAUCCACCCUGCUUUUCACACUCUCCUACCCUGAUGGUAGCAGAAGUGGUGUACCCUGCAGCUCAGUUGGGAAGGCUCCCCAAAAUGUCCUGUAAUAUCAGGGAGAGGGUGUUGGGGACUAACUGUGGGUAGAGGGGAGAACCAGGAGUAAAGCAUCUAAUUUUCCCUCAGAUAAAACUGGGAAGAACUAUGACUUUGCUCA